AUGGAGAGAUUGGUGACAGAAAGGUUAACGUACGAGCUUGAGAAGAAAGGGUUGUUGACAAGUUGUCAAAGUGGUUUCAGAAAAGGGAGACAUAAAAUGGAUGCAGUGGUAAGGCUUGAAAAUGAGAUACGGAAAGCACAGGCAAACAAAGAGUCAGUGGUGGUAGUGUUUUUUGAUAUCGAAAAAGCAUAUGACAUGAUGUGGAGGGAAGGUUUGUUAAUUAAGUUGUAUAAGAUGGGGGUAGGUGGAAGGGUUUUUAACUGGAUAAAGAAUUUUUUGUUUGACAGAAAAAUACAAGUCCGGAUUGGGUCUGAAUUGUCAAAUAAGUAUAUGGUGGGGAAUGGCACUCCCCAAGGAAGUGUAAUUAGUCCUUUAUUGUUUAUAAUCAUGAUAAAUGAUGUUUUUUCGGGGGUGCCAGAGGAUAUAGGAAGUUCUCUGUUUGCAGACGAUGGGGCUUUGUGGAAAAGGGGAAGAAAUGUGAUGCAUAUUAUUAGUAAAGUCCAGUCUGCAAUUGAUGGGGUGACAGAGUGGGGAUUUGACUGGGGGUGCAGAUUUUCGGUAGAGAAAACGCAAACUGUAUUUUUCACUAGGAAAAGAAUUGUGGAUGGGAUGAAAUUGAGGAUGUAUGGGAAAGAGUUGGAAAGAUUUGGCUCAUUUAAAUAUUUGGGAGUUAUUUUUGAUUCUAGGGUAACGUGGGCAGACCAUAUUAGGAAGAUUGAGGAUAAAUGCAAAAAGGUAAUAAAUGUGAUGAGAUGUUUGACUGGUAGGGAUUGGGGAGCGAGCUGUUCAGCUUUAAAGACUAUAUAUGUAGCUAUGAUUAGAUCUGUGUUUGAUUAUGGGUGUGUAGUGUAUGGGUCAGCCGCAGUGUCUCUCUUGAGAAAGCUGGACGUGAUUCAGGCUAAGGCAUUAAGGGUAUGCAGUGGGGCUUUUAAAUCAUCACCAGUGCCUGCCCUGCAGGUAGAAAUGGGGGAAAUGCCACUGGAGUUGAGAAGGAAACAUUUGAUGGGGAACUAUUGGGCUAAUCUGCGAGGGCACAGUGAGUUUCACCCUACAAAAGGAGUGUUGAAAGAGUGCUGGGUUUAUGGGAAGUGUGAGAGGAAUCAUUUUGGUCGGGUGGGGAAUGAUAUAGCGAAAGAGUUUGGUGUGGGUGAAUUGAAGAUUAGUCCAACAGUGGUAUAUCCAUUAUUGCCGCCAUGGAGGAUGGUGUGGCCAGAGGUGGACUGGUUUGUGUUGGGUAUAAAGAAGAGAGAGAGAGAACAGAUAGACCUGGCUAGUGUUUUUAAUAUUCAUCUUCUUAUAGAGUACAGUGAGUAUGUUCAUGUUUUUACAGAUGGUGCCAAACAACCUGAGACAGGAGCGACAGGGUUUGGAGUAGUUGUUCCAUUAAAAAGAAUAGAGUUUAAUAGAAGAACAUCAGAUAAUUUAAGCGUUUAUACAGUGGAGAUGUUGGGGGUGCUGGUCGCUUUAAAAUGGGUGGAAUCAAGUUCAGUUGGAAAAAUUGUGAUCUGUACAGAUUCAGCAUCAGUUUUGGCAAGUAUGAGGUCUUUUUAUUCAAGUAGUCGCCAAGGUUUGUUGUAUGAAGUUUUACAGUCGAUUACGAGAAUCGUUCAGCAGGGGAGGUAA
This is a long non-coding RNA of Gadus morhua (Atlantic cod), 1623 nucleotides long. NCBI's taxonomy places the organism in Eukaryota, Metazoa, Chordata, Actinopteri, Gadiformes, Gadidae. The record is from Ensembl.